Molecule: ribosomal RNA, 253 nt
Filed under: uncultured bacterium
Lineage: Bacteria
Description: partial 16S ribosomal RNA
Rfam family: Bacterial small subunit ribosomal RNA
Source: RNAcentral
UACGGAGGGUGCAAGCGUUAUCCGGAUUCACUGGGCUUAAAGGGUGCGUAGGUGGGCAGGUAAGUCCGUGGUGAAAUCUCCGGGCUUAACCCGGAAACUGCCAUUGAUACUAUCUGUCUUGAAUACCGUGGAGGUGAGCGGAAUAUGUCAUGUAGCGGUGAAAUGCUUAGAUAUGACAAAGAACACCAAUUGCGAAGGCAGCUCACUGGACCGAUAUUGACACUGAGGCACGAAAGCGUGGGGAGCAAACAGG